This 464-nucleotide long non-coding RNA is filed under the name Corvus moneduloides (New Caledonian crow). RNAcentral describes it as "lncRNA (ENSCMUG00000018910.1)". Lineage: Eukaryota; Metazoa; Chordata; Aves; Passeriformes; Corvidae. The record is from RNAcentral.
CUGUUCUCUCCAUGCUUCUCCAAGCCAAGAAGUGAGAGGCUGGCUGGAAAAUCCAGGCUGGGGUUCAGAUUUGGAAAAUACCAAAAGUGAAUGCUGCCCUGGAUUUUGCAGUGCUGCCUACUGGAAAUCCCACCUGCAGCUGCAGUGGCUUUUGGCAUUAUCAUGCACGACUAGAAGAAAUAUUCAACAGUUUGGAGCAAGCAGAAUAAAACACUGACAGCUCAGGACUCUGAAAAUUCGGUUUGCAGAGUAAUUUGACAGAAGGUUUGGACACCAUGCCCACUGUAAUUUCCACUCAGGAGCUCAGCCGUGACCUUUCAGGUUCACAGGACACAGACAGCAGCUUGUCUGGAAAGGAGAGGCUUAUUCAGCACAAUGUGAUCCAGAUAUGCAGACAUCUCUCCAUGUAGACAUGGCUGAUAGAGCUGGGAUUUACAGGUGAGCAUGAGGAAGGGCCUCUGCCA